GAAGGUGGGGAUGACGUCAAGUCCUCAUGGCCCUUAUGGGUGGGGCUUCACACGUCAUACAAUGGCCGGUACAAAGGGUCGCCAACCCGCGAGGUGGAGCCAAUCCCUCAAAGCCGGUCGUAGUCCGGAUCGCAGUCUGCAACUCGACUCCGUGGAGUGGGAAUCGGUAGGA
This 172-nucleotide ribosomal RNA is filed under the name uncultured bacterium. RNAcentral describes it as "partial 16S ribosomal RNA". It matches the Rfam family "Bacterial small subunit ribosomal RNA", at positions 1169 to 1340 of the family's 1533-position model. The record is from RNAcentral.